This 395-nucleotide ribosomal RNA is filed under the name uncultured bacterium. RNAcentral's name for it is "bacterial SSU rRNA". It matches the Rfam family "Bacterial small subunit ribosomal RNA", at positions 28 to 426 of the family's 1533-position model. The record is from RNAcentral.
GACGAACGCUGGCGGCGUGCUUAACACAUGCAAGUCGAACGGUGACGAGGAGCUUGCUCCUCUGAUCAGUGGCGAACGGGUGAGUAACACGUGGGCAACCUGCCCCUGACUUCGGGAUAACGCUUCGAAAGAGGUGCUAAUACCGGAUAUGAGUCCUCCGGCAUCUGAGGGACUGGAAAGUUUUCGGUUCAGGGAUGGGCCCGCGGCCUAUCAGCUUGUUGGUGAGGUAACGGCUCACCAAGGCGACGACGGGUAGCCGGCCUGAGAGGGCGACCGGCCACACUGGGACUGAGACACGGCCCAGACUCCUACGGGAGGCAGCAGUGGGGAAUAUUGCGCAAUGGGCGAAAGCCUGACGCAGCAACGCCGCGUGAGGGAUGACGGCCUUCGGUUGU